RNAcentral lists this long non-coding RNA (825 nucleotides) under Agrilus planipennis (emerald ash borer). RNAcentral's name for it is "uncharacterized LOC112905809, transcript variant X1". Lineage: Eukaryota; Metazoa; Arthropoda; Insecta; Coleoptera; Buprestidae. The record is from RNAcentral.
GAUGCGUGUUUUUAUUGUAUUUAAAGUUUUAUUUAUUUAAUAGUAUUGUGAAUUAGUUUCGCUUCUUAAUUUUUUACAGAUCGAUGAUAAACGAGAGGCGGAGAGGACAUGGAAGUUCGUUUUGAUGCUAGCGUAAAAGAAGUUGUUCGAUGUGAUGUUCUUUCUAUAAAUAAUUUUGCAGAUAAUUGAGGAACAUUAUAAAAAUUCUGGAUGCCAUUAAGUUACAGACCGUUGGUUACAUCAGUCCUCCUUCGUUUCAGGGAGUAGCUGUACCUAUAGCCCAAGGGAAUGCACGAAAGUGAUUUUUUUUCCAUUGAGAAUGAAGACAGUAUGUUUUUGCUGAAGGAAGGAUUCAUGACAAUGAAUUGACUGCCCAACAUAUGAGAAGGGGGAGACUGCUGGAAAUUAAUUUGGAAACCGCUGAAACAAUAGAUUGCAGUGGCAUCUCUCCUGGCUUUGGCUUGCUCGUUACACAUUUAGACUUUAGAAUAUUAGUUUCUGCAAUUAAUUAAGAUUAUCCAAUAAAUGAGAGAAUUAAUGUUCAGCUUGGUCUUACUGAAACAACCAAAGUCUACAUGGGUGUGGUCUAUUGUGAACUGUUUUCUUGAUUUGCUGUUUUCGUCUUCGCCUUGCAACAUUAUGCAGUUAAUUUUCAACCGAAGAGAGAAGAGCAACUGGAGAUUUAUUUGAAUUCCACUGAAACAACAAAUUUUCUGCUAUGGAUUUGAAUUUGGUUUGCUCUUCACAUCUGCAAACUUUGAAAUGUUACAGUUACAGUUAAUGAAGAUCGACGUUGGAGAAGACAAAGAUGACCCCGUAGUUGAA